This 2891-nucleotide ribosomal RNA is filed under the name Klebsiella pneumoniae. Its description in RNAcentral is "bacterial LSU rRNA". It matches the Rfam family "Bacterial large subunit ribosomal RNA". Lineage: Bacteria; Pseudomonadati; Pseudomonadota; Gammaproteobacteria; Enterobacterales; Enterobacteriaceae. The record is from RNAcentral.
ACUAAGCGUACACGGUGGAUGCCCUGGCAGUCAGAGGCGAUGAAGGACGUGCUAAUCUGCGAAAAGCGUCGGUAAGGUGAUAUGAACCGUUAUAACCGGCGAUGUCCGAAUGGGGAAACCCAGUGUGAUUCGUCACACUAUCGUUAACUGAAUACAUAGGUUAACGAGGCGAACCGGGGGAACUGAAACAUCUAAGUACCCCGAGGAAAAGAAAUCAACCGAGAUUCCCCCAGUAGCGGCGAGCGAACGGGGAGCAGCCCAGAGUCUGAAUCAGCUUGUGUGUUAGUGGAACGGUCUGGAAAGUCCGACGGUACAGGGUGAUAGUCCCGUACACCAAAAUGCACAGGCUGUGAACUCGAAGAGUAGGGCGGGACACGUGGUAUCCUGUCUGAAUAUGGGGGGACCAUCCUCCAAGGCUAAAUACUCCUGACUGACCGAUAGUGAACCAGUACCGUGAGGGAAAGGCGAAAAGAACCCCGGCGAGGGGAGUGAAAAAGAACCUGAAACCGUGUACGUACAAGCAGUGGGAGCACCUUCGGGUGUGACUGCGUACCUUUUGUAUAAUGGGUCAGCGACUUAUAUUCUGUAGCAAGGUUAACCGUAUAGGGGAGCCGCAGGGAAACCGAGUCUUAACUGGGCGUUAAGUUGCAGGGUAUAGACCCGAAACCCGGUGAUCUAGCCAUGGGCAGGUUGAAGGUUGGGUAACACUAACUGGAGGACCGAACCGACUAAUGUUGAAAAAUUAGCGGAUGACUUGUGGCUGGGGGUGAAAGGCCAAUCAAACCGGGAGAUAGCUGGUUCUCCCCGAAAGCUAUUUAGGUAGCGCCUCGUGAAUUCAUCUUCGGGGGUAGAGCACUGUUUCGGCUAGGGGGUCAUCCCGACUUACCAACCCGAUGCAAACUACGAAUACCGAAGAAUGUUAUCACGGGAGACACACGGCGGGUGCUAACGUCCGUCGUGAAGAGGGAAACAACCCAGACCGCCAGCUAAGGUCCCAAAGUCAUGGUUAAGUGGGAAACGAUGUGGGAAGGCACAGACAGCCAGGAUGUUGGCUUAGAAGCAGCCAUCAUUUAAAGAAAGCGUAAUAGCUCACUGGUCGAGUCGGCCUGCGCGGAAGAUGUAACGGGGCUAAACCAUGCACCGAAGCUGCGGCAGCGACACUAUGUGUUGUUGGGUAGGGGAGCGUUCUGUAAGCCUGCGAAGGUGACCUGUGAGGGUUGCUGGAGGUAUCAGAAGUGCGAAUGCUGACAUAAGUAACGAUAAAGCGGGUGAAAAGCCCGCUCGCCGGAAGACCAAGGGUUCCUGUCCAACGUUAAUCGGGGCAGGGUGAGUCGACCCCUAAGGCGAGGCCGAAAGGCGUAGUCGAUGGGAAACAGGUUAAUAUUCCUGUACUUGGUGUUACUGCGAAGGGGGGACGGAGAAGGCUAUGUUAGCCGGGCGACGGUUGUCCCGGUUUAAGCAUGUAGGCUGGUUAUCCAGGCAAAUCCGGAUAAUCAAGGCUGAGGUGUGAUGACGAGGUACUACGGUGCUGAAGUAACAAAUGCCCUGCUUCCAGGAAAAGCCUCUAAGCAUCAGGUAACAUCAAAUCGUACCCCAAACCGACACAGGUGGUCAGGUAGAGAAUACCAAGGCGCUUGAGAGAACUCGGGUGAAGGAACUAGGCAAAAUGGUGCCGUAACUUCGGGAGAAGGCACGCUGGUGUGUAGGUGAAGUCCCUGCGGAUGGAGCUGAGACCAGUCGAAGAUACCAGCUGGCUGCAACUGUUUAUUAAAAACACAGCACUGUGCAAACACGAAAGUGGACGUAUACGGUGUGACGCCUGCCCGGUGCCGGAAGGUUAAUUGAUGGGGUUAUCCGUAAGGAGAAGCUCUUGAUCGAAGCCCCGGUAAACGGCGGCCGUAACUAUAACGGUCCUAAGGUAGCGAAAUUCCUUGUCGGGUAAGUUCCGACCUGCACGAAUGGCGUAAUGAUGGCCAGGCUGUCUCCACCCGAGACUCAGUGAAAUUGAACUCGCUGUGAAGAUGCAGUGUACCCGCGGCAAGACGGAAAGACCCCGUGAACCUUUACUAUAGCUUGACACUGAACAUUGAGCCUUGAUGUGUAGGAUAGGUGGGAGGCUUUGAAGCGUGGACGCCAGUCUGCGUGGAGCCAACCUUGAAAUACCACCCUUUAAUGUUUGAUGUUCUAACGUUGGCCCCUGACCGGGGUUGCGGACAGUGUCUGGUGGGUAGUUUGACUGGGGCGGUCUCCUCCCAAAGCGUAACGGAGGAGCACGAAGGUUAGCUAAUCCUGGUCGGACAUCAGGAGGUUAGUGCAAUGGCAUAAGCUAGCUUGACUGCGAGCGUGACGGCGCGAGCAGGUGCGAAAGCAGGUCAUAGUGAUCCGGUGGUUCUGAAUGGAAGGGCCAUCGCUCAACGGAUAAAAGGUACUCCGGGGAUAACAGGCUGAUACCGCCCAAGAGUUCAUAUCGACGGCGGUGUUUGGCACCUCGAUGUCGGCUCAUCACAUCCUGGGGCUGAAGUAGGUCCCAAGGGUAUGGCUGUUCGCCAUUUAAAGUGGUACGCGAGCUGGGUUUAGAACGUCGUGAGACAGUUCGGUCCCUAUCUGCCGUGGGCGCUGGAGAAUUGAGGGGGGCUGCUCCUAGUACGAGAGGACCGGAGUGGACGCAUCACUGGUGUUCGGGUUGUCAUGCCAAUGGCACUGCCCGGUAGCUAAAUGCGGAAGAGAUAAGUGCUGAAAGCAUCUAAGCACGAAACUUGCCCCGAGAUGAGUUCUCCCUGAGACUUUAAGUCUCCUGAAGGAACGUUAAAGACGAUGACGUUGAUAGGCCGGGUGUGUAAGCGCAGCGAUGCGUUGAGCUAACCGGUACUAAUGAACCGUGAGGCUUAACC